RNAcentral lists this non-coding RNA (256 nucleotides) under Evansella cellulosilytica. RNAcentral describes it as "Bacillus cellulosilyticus T-box sequence". It matches the Rfam family "T-box leader". Rfam says of the family: Uncharged tRNA acts as the effector for transcription antitermination of genes in the T-box leader family. T-boxes are found upstream of many aminoacyl-tRNA synthetase genes and some amino acid biosynthetic genes usually in Gram-positive bacteria. The anticodon of a specific tRNA base pairs to a specifier sequence within the T-box motif, and the NCCA acceptor tail of the tRNA base pairs to a conserved bulge in the T-box antiterminator hairpin. Lineage: Bacteria; Bacillati; Bacillota; Bacilli; Caryophanales; Bacillaceae. The record is from RNAcentral.
UCGUAGGCAAUGAUAAAGAGUAGUACUUUUCAUGUAGCAUUUUACAGAGAGUCUGUUGUUUGCUGGGAGCAGAUAAUGUGGUGAGAAGGAAUGGACUUUGGAGCCUUCAAGUUGAACUGAUACACUCACAGUAGGCUUCGACGUCAUUCAAACGUUAUAUUGAAACCCCUUACUAUUUGUAGCUUUGUAGCGAGGGUAAUAAGUGAUUUCUUUUUAGAAAUAAUCAGGGUGGCAACACGGUCCAUUCGUCCCUAUU